Molecule: ribosomal RNA, 254 nt
Filed under: uncultured bacterium
Lineage: Bacteria
Description: partial 16S ribosomal RNA
Rfam family: Bacterial small subunit ribosomal RNA
Source: RNAcentral
CGGGACGGGUGAGUAAUGUCUGGGAAACUGCCUGAUGGAGGGGGAGUAACUACUGGAAACGGUAGCUAAUACCGCAUAACGUCGCAAGACCAAGAGGGGGACCUUCGGGCCUCUUGCCAUCAGAUGUGCCCAGAUGGGAUUAGCUAGUAGGUGGGGUAACGGCUCACCUAGGCGACGAUCCCUAGCUGGUCUGAGAGGAUGACCAGCCACACUGGAACUGAGACACGGUCCAGACUCCUACGGGAGGCAGCAUG